This is a long non-coding RNA of Pezoporus occidentalis (night parrot), 1792 nucleotides long. RefSeq lists it as uncharacterized. The transcript has 3 exons. Lineage: Eukaryota; Metazoa; Chordata; Aves; Psittaciformes; Psittacidae. The record is from RefSeq and is a predicted model, not a curated record.
GCUCCUCCGUCCCCUGGGCAUCUCUGGGCCUUACUGUCUUGUGGAGGCCGCGGGCAGCUACCCCUGCCUGGAGCCACCCGCGGUGAGCCACUGAGAGCCCUGUGACAGAAGAGAGAGACCCAAAAUCCGACCCCGCUCCCUACUGUGCUGUGGAAGGACCAAAUGUCCUUUCCGCACCGCGCUGCAGAGAUGCCUUGAAGGGUUUUAGGGCCACAACCGGCCUUUUAUUUUGGGCUAGUUCUGGUUUGUUUCUUGGGGUGGGUUGUUUGUUUUUCACUUUGUUUUGUUUUUCUUUUAGCUGCUCCUGCUCUCUUCCACCGCGGCCCCUCUAGCCACCGGCCCCUGCCGCGAAAGCGAUAGAAAUUUGAGAGAAGCUGCAGCCAGCCUUCAGUAACAGAUAGCUUUGUCCUAAUGAAAAGAAAGAGCUCAGUAGGUGACUUUGGUUUCCUGCACACACAAGAAAUGAGCUUGGUGUAUGAAGCAGGUUUAUGGACCUUCUAAAGCAGACUGGAAAAGGAGAGAAACUUUUAUGUUCUCAUCUUUUUCCUUUUCAAAAUUAGUAGAUGGUACUGAAAAUAACAAAGUGCAAAAAAAUGUUCUGGAAUAACUGUGGGGGUUAUGUGAGUUUGCAAUAAGCGAAACUGUUACUACUUCAUUACCUAUCUGGAAGAAAAAGAAAAUGGGUAAACUACAAAUGCUGAGAGUGGUGUGGCUAUCGAGUCAUUGUCAUUACCAUGUUGGCAAAGAAAAUAAGUCAGACAACUGCCACCAGUUAAUUUCAGGCAGUCAUUUGAAACAAGAGACUGGAGUUCUAGAUCUUUUGAUUUAAACAACUUUUUAGAAGCCUAAUUAAAUAUUAUGUGUCAUAGUCAAACUUACUGUAUUUGGUUAUUUUGCAUAUUUCAAAGGUUUUAAUCAAUAAUUGGCUUCUAUCUCAGUACUGCUUCUGUCAAAAUUGAUGAUUCUUGACACUCAUGGUGUGGUCAACAGUUAAAUGCAGGAAAAGAGAAAUUAGUCAUUUCUGACCAGGGUGAUAUAUUGUUUAUUCACUUCUCCAUACCCAGCAGGAACACUGAGGAGAUGAGUCCACAUCAGUCAUGGUGGGAAAGAGCUUUAAAGACUACAGUGAGUUACACAUAUGUACAAAUUUGUAACAUGUUCCCUUGAACAAGCUGCUUUAAUCAUCUGUUUAUUUCUAAAUCAAAAUUAGCAGUUGUUUUGCUAGCAUUAAUAUCCAACGCAUUUCCAGCCUUCUUGUUCUAGACAGAAAUGGGAGCCUUUUUUCCACCUUUCACAAGAAAUGGGAGCCUGUGAUUGACCCAUCCAGCCACUGGAUGUCACACAAAUGCAGACGAAAGGAUAUCUUAGCUACUCAUCCUAAUUUUACAGACACCUAGUUCAGUACUAUUUUAUAAAUUAUGAGGUGACGCUAUACAAGUAAACUGAAAAAAUUAUUACACUGAAUAAACUGUAACUUAAGCUUUUUCAUAUGAUAGCUGAAAGUACAUCUGCUGACAUUGUGGCAGAGCAGAGGCAGGCCAGGUAAAUGGGAGACACCUUGGACAUCUACACCCAGCUGUCAAACACUGUGGCUUGCAAGAAAAGUAGGAUUCAGCAAUAGGAGCAUGAUGCUUUAUACAGAGUGCAUUUGUGAAUGUUUUUAUGUGAUUCUAAAUGAGUUUGAUACUUACAGAAACUUUGGUUACAAUUUCCUCUUCCUUCUUUCCCAGAAACUCACACAGAAGCUUUCUUUAGGAAGAAAAGAACCAAAAUAAACAGUACUCUAAAUGUG